UUGACCUCNAAUCAGGUAGGACUACCCGCUGAACUU
RNAcentral lists this ribosomal RNA (36 nucleotides) under Calonectria gracilis. RNAcentral describes it as "partial 28S ribosomal RNA". The record is from RNAcentral. Lineage: Eukaryota; Fungi; Ascomycota; Sordariomycetes; Hypocreales; Nectriaceae.